This 213-nucleotide ribosomal RNA is filed under the name uncultured bacterium. Its description in RNAcentral is "partial 16S ribosomal RNA". It matches the Rfam family "Bacterial small subunit ribosomal RNA", at positions 524 to 735 of the family's 1533-position model. The record is from RNAcentral.
UACGGAGGGGGCUAGCGUUGUUCGGAAUUACUGGGCGUAAAGGGCGCGUAGGCGGUCGUGACAAGUCACUUGUGAAAUCUCCGGGCUUAACUCGGAACGGUCAAGUGAUACUGUCGGACUAGAGUACAGAAGGGGCAACUGGAAUUCUCGGUGUAGCGGUGAAAUGCGUAGAUAUCGAGAGGAACACCUGCGGCGAAGGCGGGUUGCUGGGCU